RNAcentral lists this ribosomal RNA (431 nucleotides) under uncultured bacterium. RNAcentral describes it as "partial 16S ribosomal RNA". It matches the Rfam family "Bacterial small subunit ribosomal RNA", at positions 29 to 507 of the family's 1533-position model. The record is from RNAcentral.
AGCGAACGCUGGCGGCAGGCUUAACACAUGCAAGUCGAGCGCCCCGCCAGGGGAGCGGCAGCCGGGUGAGUAACACGUGGGAACGUACCCUUUGGUUCGGAACAACCCAGGGAAACUUGGGCUAAUACCGGAUAAGUCCGCGAGGAGAAAGAUUUAUCGCCGAAGGAUCGGCCCGCGUCUGAUUAGCUAGUUGGUGUGGUAACGGCGCACCAAGGCGACGAUCAGUAGCUGGUCUGAGAGGAUGAUCAGCCACACUGGGACUGAGACACGGCCCAGACUCCUACGGGAGGCAGCAGUGGGGAAUAUUGGACAAUGGGGGCAACCCUGAUCCAGCCAUGCCGCGUGAGUGAUGAAGGCCCUAGGGUUGUAAAGCUCUUUCGGGGGGGAAGAUAAUGACGGUACCCACAGAAGAAGCCCCGGCUAACUUCGUG